UCCCAUUUUCUGCCACCGAAUACAUUAGCAUGGGAUAAUGGAAUAGGACCCUGUCCUCCUAUUUUCAGUUGGUUUUGGCAGCGCGAGGACUAGGGUAAUGAUUAAUAGGGAUAGUUGGGGGCAUUAAUAUUUAAUUGUCAGAGGUGAAAUUCUUGGAUUUAUGAAAGAUUAACUUCUGCGAAAGCAUCUGCCAAGGAUGUUUUCAUUAAUCAAGAACGAAAGUUAGGGGAUCGAAGACGAUCAGAUACCGUCGUAGUCUUAACCAUAAACGAUGCCGACCAGCGAUUAGGAGACGUUGAAUACAAAACACCACCAUCGGCGCGGUCGUCCUUGGCGUCUCGGUCCUUCACGGGGCCGGGGCGCGGGGGCGGCUUAGCCCGGUGGCACCGGUGAAUGACUCCCUAGCAGCUUGUGAGAA
This 418-nucleotide ribosomal RNA is filed under the name Acanthamoeba sp. Its description in RNAcentral is "SSU rRNA". It matches the Rfam family "Eukaryotic small subunit ribosomal RNA", at positions 780 to 1096 of the family's 1831-position model. Lineage: Eukaryota; Discosea; Longamoebia; Acanthamoebidae. The record is from RNAcentral.